This 684-nucleotide ribosomal RNA is filed under the name uncultured Actinomycetales bacterium. RNAcentral's name for it is "bacterial SSU rRNA". It matches the Rfam family "Bacterial small subunit ribosomal RNA", at positions 62 to 759 of the family's 1533-position model. Lineage: Bacteria; Bacillati; Actinomycetota; Actinomycetes; Actinomycetales. The record is from RNAcentral.
UCGAACGGAAAGGCCCUGCUUGCAGGGUACUCGAGUGGCGAACGGGUGAGUAACACGUGGGUGAUCUGCCCUGCACUUCGGGAUAAGCUUGGGAAACUGGGUCUAAUACCGGAUAGGAACCAUCUUUAGUGUGGUGGUUGGAAAGUUUUUUCGGUGUAGGAUGAGCUCGCGGCCUAUCAGCUUGUUGGUGGGGUAAUGGCCUACCAAGGCGGCGACGGGUAGCCGGCCUGAGAGGGUGUGCGGCCACAUUGGGACUGAGAUACGGCCCAGACUCCUACGGGAGGCAGCAGUGGGGAAUAUUGCACAAUGGGCGCAAGCCUGAUGCAGCGACGCCGCGUGGGGGAUGAAGGCCUUCGGGUUGUAAACUCCUUUCGCUAGGGACGAAGCUUUUUGUGACGGUACCUAGAUAAGAAGCACCGGCUAACUACGUGCCAGCAGCCGCGGUAAUACGUAGGGUGCGAGCGUUGUCCGGAAUUACUGGGCGUAAAGGGCUCGUAGGUGGUUUGUCGCGUCGUCUGUGAAAUUCUGGGGCUUAACUCCGGGCGUGCAGGCGAUACGGGCAUAACUUGAGUGCUGUAGGGGUAACUGGAAUUCCUGGUGUAGCGGUGAAAUGCGCAGAUAUCAGGAGGAACACCGAUGGCGAAGGCAGGUUACUGGGCAGUUACUGACGCUGAGGAGCGAAAG